UACGUAGGGGGCGAGCGUUGUCCGGAUUUAUUGGGCGUAAAGAGCGUGUAGGCGGCUUGGUAGGUCCGCUGUGAAAACUCGAGGCUCAACCUCGAGAUGUCGGCGGAAACCACUUGGCUAGAGUCCGGAAGAGGAGAGUGGAAUUCCCGGUGUAGCGGUGAAAUGCGCAGAUAUCGGGAAGAACACCUAUGGCGAAGGCAGCUCUCUGGGACGGUACUGACGCUGAGACGCGAAAGCGUGGGGAGCGAACAGG
Molecule: ribosomal RNA, 253 nt
Filed under: uncultured bacterium
Lineage: Bacteria
Description: partial 16S ribosomal RNA
Rfam family: Bacterial small subunit ribosomal RNA
Source: RNAcentral